Molecule: ribosomal RNA, 497 nt
Filed under: uncultured bacterium
Lineage: Bacteria
Description: partial 16S ribosomal RNA
Rfam family: Bacterial small subunit ribosomal RNA
Source: RNAcentral
GACGAACGCUGGCGGCGUGCCUAAUACAUGCAAGUAGAACGCUGAAGAGAGGAGCUUGCUCUUCUUGGAUGAGUUGCGAACGGGUGAGUAACGCGUAGGUAACCUGCCUGGUAGCGGGGGAUAACUAUUGGAAACGAUAGCUAAUACCGCAUAAAAUGGAUUAUCGCAUGAUAAUCCAUUGAAGGGUGCAAAUGCAUCACUACCAGAUGGACCUGCGUUGUAUUAGCUAGUUGGUGGGGUAACGGCUCACCAAGGCGACGAUACAUAGCCGACCUGAGAGGGUGAUCGGCCACACUGGGACUGAGACACGGCCCAGACUCCUACGGGAGGCAGCAGUAGGGAAUCUUCGGCAAUGGACGGAAGUCUGACCGAGCAACGCCGCGUGAGUGAAGAAGGUUUUCGGAUCGUAAAGCUCUGUUGUAAGAGAAGAACGAGUGUGAGAGUGGAAAGUUCACACUGUGACGGUAUCUUACCAGAAAGGGACGGCUAACUACGUG